Prunus avium (sweet cherry) is the source of this 640-nucleotide non-coding RNA. The record is from RefSeq and is a predicted model, not a curated record. NCBI's taxonomy places the organism in Eukaryota, Viridiplantae, Streptophyta, Magnoliopsida, Rosales, Rosaceae.
UAACAAUUAUGCUGUAGAUUGAAGAGGAAUAAGAAGACGAAGAGCAUCGACCAUGGCGAUGCAUAAGCUCAUAACUCGUGGAGCAGCUCGUGCGGUUCCAGGCUCAUCUUCUUCCGCCAAUCCUUUCCGUGCUCUAGGCAACGCUCUUAUCGGUUCUUCUUCCAAGACUUAGGUUUUCGUUUGAUUCACAAGCAGGAAAGAUUGAAGGAGAUACCUCAUCCACGCCCACAGCUUCUGAGCCGUAAUUUUGUCCAAACACUCAUGGCCACAUACUGCACCAGAUCUGAGAGAACGCUCACAAGGAUGAGCUUAAGAAGAACGAAGAUACCAUUUCAAGGUCAGCCGAAUCAUAUUGAUGUCAGGACAGUAUAUGGAUACGGUCAUGGGGAUGAUUACAGAGGAAACAAUGAAUCACAGAUGACUAAAUAUUCUAGGGAGGCAUUAAUUCAGCUCUUAAAUCUGGUGCAGUUGAAACUACAUCCUAGAUUUUUAUAAAGUAGAGUGUCCGCUUUGACAGGAUAUCAAUUUUUGAUGAAGUUUUCAAGCUAAUGUCCCGGUUAGACUUGGUGGUAAGAUUUAUUCAUCGAAGUUUUUAAAGUAGAUUAUUGUUAAUUGAUGAGUGAUGUCUAAUUCUUCAUGA